RNAcentral lists this ribosomal RNA (301 nucleotides) under uncultured bacterium. RNAcentral's name for it is "partial 16S ribosomal RNA". It matches the Rfam family "Bacterial small subunit ribosomal RNA", at positions 509 to 810 of the family's 1533-position model. The record is from RNAcentral.
CAGUCGCCGCGGUAUACGUAGGUGGCAAGCGUUGUCCGGAAUUAUUGGGCGUAAAGCGCGCGCAGGCGGAUCAGUUAGUCUGUCUUAAAAGUUCGGGGCUUAACCCCGUGAGGGGAUGGAAACUGCUGAUCUAGAGUAUCGGAGAGGAAAGUGGAAUUCCUAGUGUAGCGGUGAAAUGCGUAGAUAUUAGGAAGAACACCAGUGGCGAAGGCGACUUUCUGGACGAAAACUGACGCUGAGGCGCGAAAGCCAGGGGAGCGAACGGGAUUAGAUACCCCAGUAGUCCCUGUCUCUUAUACAC